RNAcentral lists this ribosomal RNA (571 nucleotides) under Bacillus sp. enrichment culture clone M1C15. Its description in RNAcentral is "bacterial SSU rRNA". It matches the Rfam family "Bacterial small subunit ribosomal RNA", at positions 334 to 896 of the family's 1533-position model. The record is from RNAcentral. Lineage: Bacteria; Bacillati; Bacillota; Bacilli; Caryophanales; Bacillaceae.
UACUCCUACGGGAGGCAGCAGUAGGGAAUCUUCCGCAAUGGACGAAAGUCUGACGGAGCAACGCCGCGUGAGUGAUGAAGGCUUUCGGGUCGUAAAACUCUGUUGUUAGGGAAGAACAAGUGCUAGUUGAAUAAGCUGGCACCUUGACGGUACCUAACCAGAAAGCCACGGCUAACUACGUGCCAGCAGCCGCGGUAAUACGUAGGUGGCAAGCGUUAUCCGGAAUUAUUGGGCGUAAAGCGCGUGCAGGUGGUUUCUUAAGUCUGAUGUGAAAGCCCACGGCUCAACCGUGGAGGGUCAUUGGAAACUGGGAGACUUGAGUGCAGAAGAGGAAAGUGGAAUUCCAUGUGUAGCAGUGAAAUGCGUAGAGAUAUGGAGGAACACCAGUGGCGAAGGCGACUUUCUGGUCUGUAACUGACACUGAGGCGCGAAAGCGUGGGAGCAAACAGGAUUAGAUACCCUGGUAGUCCACGCCGUAAACGAUGAGUGCUAAGUGUUAGAGGGUUUCCGCCCUUUAGUGCUGAAGUUAACGCAUUAAGCACUCCGCCUGGGGAGUACGGCCGCAAGGCUG